This is a non-coding RNA of Chiloscyllium plagiosum (whitespotted bambooshark), 722 nucleotides long. The record is from RefSeq and is a predicted model, not a curated record. Lineage: Eukaryota; Metazoa; Chordata; Chondrichthyes; Orectolobiformes; Hemiscylliidae.
CCGACUGAGCAUUUCUACAACUUUCUGUGUUUUUUGUUCAAGAUAAAAGUCUCCAGGAAAUAAAUACUCUAAAGCAACGCAAAUUGUCAAAAAACAGCAUGAGAUCGUAUCUGGAUAAGAUGUCCUCUUCGUUUGUAGCUUGAAUAAGCUUCUAGUGCAACUUGCUCAGCACAACAGUCACAAAUACCCCUGUCUCCAUCACUGACACUCGGUAGCAUCAGCAUGUACCAUAGAUAAGACGCACUGCAGAAAUUCACCAAAGUUGUUUAAAGAGCUGCUUCCAGACCCACGGCACGACCAUCUAGAAUGCCUAGCACACCAGAUACAUGGGAACACCACCAGUUGAAAAUUUCACAUCAAGCCACUCUCCACCCUAACUUGGAAAAACAUGUUGGUUCCACAAGUGCCAUUGGUUGAAAAUCAUGGAACCCCUUCCCUUCCAUCAUUGUGGGUUUACCGGCCGCAUAUAGAUAGCAGCAGUUCAGGAAGGCAGCUCACUGACACUUCCUCGGGAUCAGCUAUAUAUGGGCAACAAAUGCCAACCCAGCCAGAAAUGCCACAAUCCAACGUCUCAUUCCCAGAUUUUUGAGAUGAAAUUUCGAAACAGUCACGUGAUGUCCCUCAGCCUAUUGUCAGAGGAAAGUGGAUGCGCCAUCAUGAAAUAAAUAUCAGAUUGGAAUAGACGGAUUGCUGGUGUCUCAGGGAAUCAUGGCAUAUGGGGA